AGAGUUUGAUCAUGGCUCAGGAUGAACGCUAGCUACAGGCUUAACACAUGCAAGUCGAGGGGCAGCAUGAUUGAAGCUUGCUUCAAUUGAUGGCGACCGGCGCACGGGUGAGUAACGCGUAUCCAACCUUCCGUACACUCAGGGAUAGCCUUUCGAAAGAAAGAUUAAUACCUGAUGGUAUGAUGAGAUUGCAUGAUAGCAUCAUUAAAGAUUUAUCGGUGUACGAUGGGGAUGCGUUCCAUUAGGUAGUAGGCGGGGUAACGGCCCACCUAGCCUACGAUGGAUAGGGGUUCUGAGAGGAAGGUCCCCANAUUGGAACUGAGACGACGGUCCAAACUCCGUACGGGAGGCA
This 352-nucleotide ribosomal RNA is filed under the name uncultured bacterium. RNAcentral's name for it is "bacterial SSU rRNA". It matches the Rfam family "Bacterial small subunit ribosomal RNA", at positions 8 to 350 of the family's 1533-position model. The record is from RNAcentral.